GGGCGCUUAUUGUUCUGGGGAGAUGCCUCUUCCAGGAGUGGCUUGGGAGGGUCAGAGCUCCUUCCAUUCAGACCAGUCACCCACUUCUCCAGAAAUCGCGUCCCCUUCUUUGCGCCUCUCGUGCCGACAUUCCCUGCAUCGCUCGUCCCUUUCCUGUAUUGCACUGCCCUGUAAACUGGUGAAUAACUGCGUGGGUUCAAAAGCCAUGCUGCCUCUUUUGAUUCCUGGCUCCCCCACAUGACCUGUGAUAACCUUGGACCAACUGUUUGAGGCCGUUUGAGCCUCAGUUUCCCCAUCUGCAAGAUGGGUGCAAGACUAGCACCUCUUCCCAAUCCCGUGAGGAUUCAGGGAGGUGAUGCCAGCAUGAUGGCGGGAACUUGGCGAACCUUUGCACAGAGGUCCGAUCUCUUGCCAUUGCUGUGUCCUGGGCUGACUGCGGGGACAGCAGAGUUCUUAAAAAAUAAUCGCUUUCACAAACGCCAAUAUUUCAGUUGUGCCUCUCCGGUAUAGACAUCUGCUUAUGAAGAGCUAGCAAUACUGGAGGUUCUAGGUAAGACCUGGCUCACGACAGAGGAGAGUGACAGACCAAGGAGGGACUGACACAGAGAGAAACCAGAGCCACAAUUGGGCAGCUCUGUAGGAGAAGCCAUCCCGGACUGGGGAUGCUGGAGCUGGAAGGAAUGGGGAAGAGAUUUCAUGGAGGAAAUUUACCUGCCUUGGCUGCUAGUGGGUGAUAAGCACCAAGGACUGCCGGGGUUCUGAGGAUGUGAAGGUGUAGGGAAGGAAUGACGGAGCCACGACCUCAUCCCGGGGGGAGUCCAUUCGGGGAGAUGCACGUCUCCCUGGAAAAGCUUAGGGCACAGGUGUCCCGAGGAGCUCCAAGUGGGUGGGCUGGGAGGGGAACCCUCUGCGGUCAAAGGUGUGGGAGCCUAGGUGCCUAGACUAGGCUGGGAGGACUGAAUGAAGAGAGCCUCUCAGAGGCAUUCAGAAAACUCUUGCUCUGCGAGCUCAGGUUUCUGUAAGAGUGCAACCCUAAGAACACCUUGCCAGGCACGAGUAACACCUGGGGAGUUAUUAAAACAUUGAUUCCUGGGCUCUGGCCCCGGGAGGUUCUGACUUAGAAGAGGCCCAUGAAUUUGCAUUUCUGACAGACUUCUGGGUGAUGCUGAGCAGCCAGUCCUGAGGACCACACCGUGAGUGGUGCUGCCCUGGACCACACCCAGGCCCUGUCAGCCCCCUGGAUGCUCCUGCUGCGCCCACACCUGCUGCCAGAGGGAUGCCGUGUGGGGCCCGGGCCUCACCUGGACCAGCCGCCGCAGCCUCUCCUGCUGGUCCCACUGGUUAUCUUUGCCAGUCACCAGUGGGGAUUUUUUUGCUGGUGAUGUUCAGACCUUUCACCUCUUCGGGACCCCUCACCCCAAGCCCGUCCAUUGUGGGUGAGACCUGCGGCCAGAGGUCGCGUGAACACACAUGUGGCCUCCUGACAGUUUAUGGCACGGGUGCUGUCUGGGUCUAGCUCCACGUGCCAAGCGCAGGAGAUGAGACAGACCGUGUGCCUUGCUCUCUGCUCUUUCCAAGCUGGUCUAAAAAGGCUCGCAAGCUAUUCCAUAAAGCAUUGCAUCAGGGAACCUUGAGUCAUGCUGCUCUUGGUCAUCCCUUUCAGGUAUUUGCUGUCCUGAUUAAAAUGUGCAGAGGCCUCAUGAGGGAGCUGUCUCCAGACUCUGAGUCAGGGAAUCCAGUUAAUCGAGUUUGUUAGCCUUGAUUGUAAAGUAGGAGUUAAAGGGCCCAGAAUAAGAGCCUGGCAAGAUUGCUUAUGACACAGUGCAUAGAUUUUAGUGCUUGUGUGUGGGGGAUACCCAUUUUGUUUUUAAUAGUGCUAAAAUGUAUGUAGUGUAAUAUUUAUCAUUUUAACCAUUUUAAGUAUAUAAAUCAGUGAUAUCAACUGCAUUUGCAAUUUUGUGUAACCACUAACCAUACCUAAAGCUGUUUUUCUCAUCCUCAAUAUACAUUCUGUACCCAUUAAACAAUAAGCGCUCUCCCCUCCACUCCUUGCAGCCCUGGGUACCUCUGUUCUACUUUCUGCUUCGUGAAUUAGACUCCUGUAUCUCAUGUCAGUGGAAUCAGGCAUAUCUGUCCUCCUGUGUUUUAUGUCACUAAACAGGUUUUCAGGUUCUACCCAUAUGGUAGCAUAUAUCAAAAUCGCUUUCCUUUUCAGGGCUGAAUAGCAUUCCCCUGUGUACAUAUGCCACAUUUUUUUAAUCCGUUCACCGUUGGUGGAUGCUUGGCUCACUUCCCCCUUUGGCUAUUAACUGAAUAAUGCUGCUCUUGACACUAGUGAAUGAAUACCUCUUAGAAUCUCUGACUUCCGUUCUUCUUUUUACAUAUCUGGGCGUCAGGUGCUGGGUCAUGUGGUGCUUGUAGCUCUAACCCUUUGAGAAACUGCCACACUGGAUUCCACAGCGGCUGCACCAUUUUACAUUCCCAGCAGCAGCAUAUUGUCCACAUCCUCCCUAACAUUUGCUGCUGCUGCUGCUGUUGUUGUUGUUGAUAAUAGCCUAUUAGUAGAUGUGAGGUCGCAGACGUGGCUCGGAUCCCGCGUUGCUGUGGCUGUGGUGUAGGCUGGGGGCUAUAACUCCGAUUUGACCCCUAGCCUGGGAACCUCCAUAUGCCAUGAGUGUGGCCCCCAAAAGGCCAAAAAAAAAAACCCCAAACAUUUUGUCUUGGAGGAUCCAACAGUCCUGAUUUAUGUCACUCACUGGAUGUGUCAGCUCUUAGCACAAACCCUGUGGAUUCCUCCUAAAAUGAAAAUAGGCAGCUACACCCAAGUAAGGUGGCCCCCCCCAACCCCCACCCUUCAAACCACCCCCUGGCUCUCGUAUGUUACGUUUAGUGGCUUUGCAGUGCAUGUCUCUCAGCCAGAGACGCUAGUGGCAAAUGGUUCUCUCUCCAGCGCUGAGUUUAUUGGACAGGCGGUGCAUGCAGAAUUCUGUUUUAUAUGGCGAUUUGGCAUUUGUGCAGAAAAGUACUGCAAGAUUCUGAAGCGUGUUCUUGGGGGUAAAAUCAUAAGGCAUCUGCUGGAAACGGCCGUGACAGAGACGUUUCAACAGAAUCGAACAAAUAAAAGUCAGAACUCAAAAUUGAAUACUGCUGCAUUUUUGUCUAAAUCACCGUGAGCAGAUUGAGAUGUGUGCGUGUGUGUCUUGAGGGACAAAGGCACACGUCCUUCUUUGUGUGUUAAUUGUAGGGGACCGACAGAUGGGAGUGACCGCAUCACCACGUGAUGGCAACUCCUCUUUCUUCCAAGAGAUUUCUCUCCCCUUGGUUUCCCAGCCAGGUCUGACCCUGGACGGGGGCGGCUGGUGGCAGAUAGUCUAACAGCGUGUGCCCUGCCGGAACAGUCUGCUGGCACCACUUUUUAAUAAGGGCUGGGCUCUUGCCUAAGAGCCCAGCAACUUCGGUGCCUCCUCUGCUGCGCCUUCCCCGAACACACCUCGCCCUCGCUAAUAAAUUCCGAGGGCUGACAUUGCCGGAGCCGGCUGGUCUUUGCCCUCAAUUUCAUUGAGAUGGGCCAUUGAAAACUCAUUACAAGCUGUUUAGACUCUGACUUUGACUUUUGCUCGGCAGCGAGCGAAAUUAACAGCUCUUGGAGGUAGCAAAAAAGGCACUCAGCC
RNAcentral lists this long non-coding RNA (3671 nucleotides) under Sus scrofa (pig). Its description in RNAcentral is "lncRNA (ENSSSCG00025040213.1)". The record is from RNAcentral. Lineage: Eukaryota; Metazoa; Chordata; Mammalia; Artiodactyla; Suidae.